GGGAACUCAUAGGAGACUGCCGGGGUCAACUCGGAGGAAGGUGGGGAUGACGUCAAAUCAUCAUGCCCCUUAUGUCUUGGGCUUCACGCAUGCUACAAUGGCCGGUACAAAGGGCUGCAAUACCGUAAGGUGGAGCGAAUCCCAAAAAGCCGGUCUCAGUUCGGAUUGAGGUCUGCAACUCGACCUCAUGAAGUCGGAGUCGCUAGUAAUCGCAGAUCAGCAACGCUGCGGUGAAUACGUUCCCGGGCCUUGUACACACCGCCCGUCAAGUCAUGAAAGUCGGUAACACCCGAAGCCGGUGGCCCAACCCUUGUGGAGGGAGCCGUCGAAGGUGGGAUCGGUAAUUAGGACUAAGUCGUAACAAGGUAGCCGUACCGGAAGGUGCGGCUGGAUCACCUCCUUUCUAAGGAG
This 411-nucleotide ribosomal RNA is filed under the name Schumannella luteola. RNAcentral's name for it is "bacterial SSU rRNA". It matches the Rfam family "Bacterial small subunit ribosomal RNA", at positions 1133 to 1533 of the family's 1533-position model. Lineage: Bacteria; Bacillati; Actinomycetota; Actinomycetes; Micrococcales; Microbacteriaceae. The record is from RNAcentral.